AUGCCUAGAUGGCUUUUUUGCAAAUUUUAUCCACUGGGUUAAGUUUAAUGUGUUUUUAAAUAUUGCCUAGCCUGAAAAGAAUCUUAAGCAAGUUGAUUGUUUUCAUCUGGCAAAAAUAAAUAAAUAAAAUCUUUAAAAAAUGCAAAAGAAGUGUGAGCUGUAUGUCUAUAUUAGUAGAGAUCAUUUGAGCAUAUGCAAGAGGAGAAAGGUUGAAAUAAAAUUUCAAUUAUAAUCCCACUCUAAAUGCUUUACAAUUUUGUUUGUAGCUUGAAUCAUGUAUUUUCAGUAACACCAGUUAUAGUCAGUCUCACUUAUACUGCUUUUUUUAACUAGUACACACUCACACCUACAAAUAGAUGUUAGAUACCCCCCUCCUUCCCCUCACCCAACAUUCUGGAAGAGACUCAUUGUCUCUCCACAACUAAUAGGCUCUCUGCAGAUCCUGUCUCUUCCGCUGGCUCUCUAACCAACUCACUUUACACAAUCACAUUUUAACUUCUGAGCCUCCUGUCUGGAGCAUGCUUAGUCAUUCUUCCUGGCCUUGUAGUCACCAUCCCUACCAUAUGGAUAGACUAACCUACAGACUUCACUUCUGCUUGUGUAUGUGGAAUAUACUCAGUUGUAAAGCAGAGCCAUGUUUGACCUCUUUCCAGUUGUCCACCUGUUAGUUAUCCUGAAAAGAAGAUGGAAAUAUCUGGGACAUGUGUUAAGAAGAAAGGCAGAGCACCUGUUACAGCAGGUGUCCCAUUGAGCAGCUGGAAAAACAUGUAAAUGGGGCCAACCGAAAGAAUCCCUCUGACAAACAGUACUUCAGGAGGGCAGAACUAUUUUUAAAUGAACACGAGCCAGAAGAGGCUGCCAUAACCACUCACUGCCAUCCAGUGAUGGAUCCUGUCCUUCCCUGAUGUAAAAACAACAGUGAUGUGUGCACUAUUUCUUCUGUGUUUACAUUUUCUGAGACAGGCUAUUUGGAAUAAAGAAUUAGCAGAAAUUAUUUAUUUUCAGUGUGUGAAGUGUCAAGGUCAAAGCCUAAUCAACCCUUCACUAGCAUCCCACUAAUUAAAAUGAAAAUCAUUGCUUCUUUUCUCAUCAAUAACUAUUGAUUUCUAAGAGUACAGAAUUUUACAUGAGUCCGUGCACUGGUGUUCAUAAUGAGCACUACACCAAGCUAGCCAUGUCACAAGCCUGAGUGUUACUUGAAAACUGACCUUUAAUGAUUAAACAAUAAAUUAAAAUACACUGAAAAAAAUUCUCACUUACGCAUUUUGAAAACUACAUCAACCAAUCUCCAUUUUGGUGGGAAAAGAGAGGGCAUCAGCGGAUAUGGGGAUCACUAUGAUAGGUUUGGGACGAUAAGAGGACCAAAUUUCUGCCUUGAAAAUUUUCAGUAUGAACAUCUUUUAUAUAUAAGGACAAAAUGUGGCCUAUAGUUAAUAAAACUCAUAGCUUCAGGAGCACCAGAUAUGCUAAUAUAAGUUGGACAUUAGUUGAUUUAAUUCUUUAACCAAUUUUCAGCCUCAUUGCUCUACCUUUUACUUAGUAAUUACCUAAUGCCUGAGCAUUUACUAAUGACUAAUUUAAAAUUUGUCUGUGGGCUAAAUAUAUUGUAACAAAUCUAUGACCACCUAGGGUUUCACAUUUGUCACUAGACUGCACACCAUUGGCAUUUAGAUUUUCAAGUCGAAAAACCAAAUCCUCCUAUUCCUAAAAUAGGCCCCCAGAAUUAAUGAGGAAUCACUGUCUGCAGAAUAGCACUUAUGACAUACAUUCUAGAAGUUCAGAUUCAAUCCUGUGAAGGGCAUACACACUAGUCAAUUAAUUAUAAUGCUUUUUUAUAGAAAAAGCUUACUAAAUCUUUCAGUAUAUAGACUUUCCCUUCAGUCUUUAAAAUCCUCUAAAAUUAAUGGGCAACAUUGUUGCCCCACUGAAGUCAAUGGCAAACAAACAACAGUCAGGGUAGCUAAACACUGGAAUAAUUUACUUAGGGUUCUGGUGAAUUCUCCAUCACUUUGUCUUCAAAUCAUUAUUGGAUAUCUUUCUAUAUGCUAUAGCUCCAACAGAAGUUAUGGGAUUGACAUAGAAAUUACUGGGUGGGGCUUUUUGAUCUGUGUUAUUAGAGCUGAUCGGAAUAUUUUUAUUAAAAUGGGUUUUUGUUGGAAAAAGCUGUUUUGAUUAAACCAUUUUUGGACAAAUUUUGACAAAGUUUCUCAUGAAAGAAAAACAUUUAGAAACUCCCCCCCCCAAAAAUGACCUAGUUUGGUUUCAAUUUUUUUUUUUAUCAUGUACAUUUGAUUUUUAUUACUUUUGCAUUGUUUCAUGACACGUCAACAUGAUUAGUCUGGGCAUACCACAAUUGACAUAAUAGUUGAAAUAAUACAAGUGUCAAACUAUUUCAUUACAACACAAACAGGAGACACUUUGAUCUAGAAAAGAAGAUGUUUCAAUGAGUACAAAGUAGCAGCUGCCUUUAAUGAUUUUAAAAACAAAAUAAAUUAAAAAUACAGUGUUUCAACUACCACAUCAUGAGAUGACAUCAGUAGUAGUGCACAUAUAUUAUGCAGGUCAACUAUUAACAUGUCAUGAAAUAAUGUAAAGAUAAUAAAACUGAGAUGAAAAACCCAUAAAAUGAAAAAUUUGACCAGAAAUUUUCCCCAAAUGAAACUUCUAAAUUUCAACCAGCUCUACAUGUUAGGCAAGAACUCAGACUAGGUAAUCAAAAUGGUCCUUUCUGGCCUUAAAAGCUAUGCAUCUAUGACUUCAGUGGGAGCAGUAUUUCACCCAAUAAAUCUAUCAAUUAUGAGAAAUCAGAUAUUAGCCUUUUCUCUUACUGCCCCAUAGCAUUGAUUAUACUCUCAGGGAAAUUCUCAGCCAAUCAAACCAUAGAGCUGUAUCACUGCAUUACAACUCCAGAACAUAACUGCUUGAAUGACAUCUUAUUCCCUCCUUGUUCAGUAUAUCCCACUCCUCUCCUACCCCAGAUCCUUGAUUCCCCUAUUUUAAAACUGAAUUAGAGGAAUGUGGAAUAGACUAAGUCUAACCUUCUCUUGUGUAUCUUACUCUGUUUGUGGCCCUAACCAACAUUUCCAGGUCAGCAUCACUUAAAGUAGGAGGUUUACUGAAUCGCAAGGUGCUGACAACUAAACUCAGCACUAGGGAGUGGCAAGCACAAGGACUGAACAAGAACACAUGGGGUUCAUUCUAGUUUAUAGUAUAUUUUUAAUUGGGUUAGCGUAUGUAAUGGUGCUGUAUAAUGGAGAACGAUUGGAGAAAAUACCCUGAUCUUCUUGGUAAUAAGCAAGAUCUCUCAUGAGGAUAAAUUAUUUGGCCUUCUAGUUUAUCCAUUUGGAAACCAUAUUACUGCCUCAGAAAAAGAGCUACCUGUCCUAUUAUCCCUUAACUAACAAGAACUGCAAAAUCCUUUUCAAACUACUAGCCAUCCAGCUUGAUAAAAUACCCCUUCAUCCAACCAGAUCAAGCUGGAUGUAUGAGUAUUUACAUGCCCUCAAGUAAUCUUUCAAGACCAUAUUGUUCAUUGUUCUCUGUAAUAUAAGAAAAACAUUCUUCAUUUCUUUGGCCAAAAAGGCAUUCAAGGGGAUACAAUGGCCCUUCAUGUUCAGAGGCUUGUAUUAGUUUAGUUGCUUUAUUGAAGAGACAACCCUGUGACUGUGAGGGUAUAUCUGAUUUUGGCUGAUGUAAAUACUGACUGUUGAUUAUGUGUAUGUCACCUUACUUACAUAAAUUGUAUAAUCAAUCAAUCCAAAAAGCUAUGUUACUGCCAACUAUAAUUCAGAAUUUAAAGUAACAAAAAUCAGGACAUUCAAAAUCACAGUGUACUUCCAAAAGCCACAGCAGCAUGGGCCCUUGUGCUUACAUAGUGUUUAAUAUUACUGAAUACACUGCUAGGUUUAUACCCUACAUGACAGAGCUUCUUCUCGGAAUUGGUGGGUCCCGCGCUUCUGUUUAGCAGUGGGCUAGGGUAUUUCUCUCUCUGUCAGAAUUUUCCCCACACCCCUGGGCUUGUUGUCACACCCCUGCCGGAGCAGGGUUCCUCCCAGCUACCCUGACAGGGAGAGGGAAGGGGAGCCUCUCAGUCUCUGGUAACCCCUCCAGGCAUGGUGGUAAUAGACCCAAUAGUCACUUCAGUCUCUCCCCUCUGGCAGGGUCUCUUCCCUCAGCUCUUUGGGGCCCAGAAGGGACAUCGGCCACAUUGAGCAGGGAUUGUCCUGCUCUUUGCCUCUGUACCUGUGUGGUUUCUCUCCUGGUGCUUGUCAGCAUCUGCACUGCCCAACUCUCCAGUAGCUUACCUUCCUCCCUCAGCUGGUAUCACAUGCCCCUAUCUGGCUGGAGGGGAGGCUUUUAACAGGUUCUGGCAGGCCCUUGAUUGGCCUCAGGUGUCCUAAUUAACCUAGAGUAACCUCUGUUCAGUUACCAAGGGAAAAGGGACUUGCUUAUCCUGGGGCUACUAUACCUGCCUUCCGCCACUCUCAUGUUGCCAUCUGGCCUGUCCCCGUCACACCUAAUAAAAACCAGUGCUAGAAAUCAUAGUGAUGGGUAUAAUAUAAAUGUCUAGGUAGAUGGAACAUUUAUGAAAUAUGUAGAGUUAUGUUAUCCCAUUUGUUCAAUUUGUCCACCCUCUCCAGGAUGAUGAUAAUCUGGAGAGUAUGUACAAAUUGAAUAAAUGGGAUAACACAACCUUCAGAACUGAAGAUCAUACUAUAUGAUGGUUUUGCAAGUUAAUGGGAGUUUUGUCUGAGACUGGAUGGCAGUUUCAGCCCCAACUUAUGUACAUUAUAAAUGCCUCUUAGUUCACACACUGGCUUUAAAAAAAAAAAGCGAGCGCAAAAGGCAGUGUUUACAACUGUGUGAUGUAUUACUGUAUAGAGCUAACUGGGAAUUUUUCACUGAAAUGUUUGUCUGUUGGAAAAGGCCGAUUCAUCAAACCAAAACUUUUUGUGGAAGCAUACUGCUUUUGACAGGACGAUUUCUCAAGUCCAGGAUGAAAUCUCUGUCAAAACCAGCAAAGGGAGAGGGGGACCACAGAAUAACCAAUAACACAGUGAUUGGGGAACUUACCUGGGUUCUGGGAGAUCUAGGUUCAACUCCCUUCUCUGCCUAAUUCAGUGCUCUAACCACAAGGCUACAGUCUGAGCCCCGCUCUCUGGCCCAGUGAAUAUUUAAUAAUUUGCACAGAGUGGCUGAGACAGACAGAGAGAGAGAGAGAGUCAGUGUAGGGACUUGAAAUUGUGUUUUCUACAUCCCAGGGGAGUGCCCUAACCAGUGGGCUACUGGCCACCCCAGGGUCCCUCGUUUUUUCAUGAAAAGUUCUCAGGGUCUCAGUUUUGUCCCAGUGCAGAACAAAACCAAAUGCCAAAACCUCAGAAGUUUUCAGGAAACUGAAUUCUUGUUUUCCAGCCAGCACAACUUCUGAAAUCUACAGCUGAGAUGGGAGGGGAGCAAAGGUG
Dermochelys coriacea (leatherback sea turtle) is the source of this 5462-nucleotide long non-coding RNA. RefSeq lists it as uncharacterized. NCBI's taxonomy places the organism in Eukaryota, Metazoa, Chordata, Testudines, Dermochelyidae. The record is from RefSeq and is a predicted model, not a curated record. The transcript has 3 exons.